UUGCUGGAACGCGCCCCAGGCGCACCCAGAAACCCUUUGUGAACUUAUACCUUACUGUUGCCUCGGCGCAUGCUGGCCCCCUCGGGGUCCCUUGGAGACGAGGAGCAGGCACGCCGGCGGCCAAGUUAACUCUUGUUUUUACACUGAAACUCUGAGAAAAAACACAAAUGAAUCAAAACUUUCAACAACGGAUCUCUUGGUUCUGGCAUCGAUGAAGAACGCAGCGAAAUGCGAUAAGUAAUGUGAAUUGCAGAAUUCAGUGAAUCAUCGAAUCUUUGAACGCACAUUGCGCCCUCUGGUAUUCCGGAGGGCAUGCCUGUUCGAGCGUCAUUUCAACCCUCAAGCAUUGCUUGGUGUUGGGGCACUGCCUGUAAAAGGGCAGGCCCUGAAAUCUAGUGGCGAGCUCGCCAGGACCCCGAGCGCAGUAGUUAAACCCUCGCUCUGGAAGGCCCUGGCGGUGCCCUGCCGUUAAACCCCCAACUUUUGAAAAUUUGACCUCGG
This 501-nucleotide ribosomal RNA is filed under the name fungal endophyte. Its description in RNAcentral is "eukaryotic LSU rRNA". The stretch from base 177 to 330 matches the Rfam family "5.8S ribosomal RNA". The record is from RNAcentral. Lineage: Eukaryota; Fungi.